This is an RNA transcript of Lytechinus pictus (painted urchin), 3158 nucleotides long. It is a transcript of the gene named extracellular tyrosine-protein kinase PKDCC-like, with no coding region annotated. NCBI's taxonomy places the organism in Eukaryota, Metazoa, Echinodermata, Echinoidea, Temnopleuroida, Toxopneustidae. The record is from RefSeq and is a predicted model, not a curated record. The transcript has 6 exons.
UAGGUUUUUGUGUCAAAGGUGAAGAUCCUUUCAGAGGAUCAGGCUGUAGGACGCCCUCAAGUUUGACUAUCGUAGAACGUGGCACACCUCUUACUUUCAUCAAUCUUCUUCAGAUGACUUGGGAGGAUCGCCUGAGGGUAUGCCUUGGUAUAAGUAGACUGAUGGUUUAUCUGUCCGAAUCACCCAUCGGAUCCCUGGCCAUCCAUGAUUACAAGCUUUCUCAAUUCAUCAUCGUUGAUGGAGAGAUUAAACUUGCGGACCUCGACGAUGUCGAUAACAAUCAUUCGCCGUGUUCGACGAGCUCGGAGUGCAGUAUUGAUAUGGGAACCAAUAUUACAGUCUACACCUCGUGUAGCAAUGAAGUCUGUUCUAACUUCAGUCAGAAAUCUAACAUGGCACAUUCCUACCUCAAGUUCUUCGUUUUCCUGCAACUCGAACAUCCACCUGGGAUGAGUGAACUCAUAGGACAAUUUAUUAAUAAUACCAAAAAGAUUCUGUGGUCUCCAAGACAGUGCUUGCAGCAUGUGCAGACAAUACUCAAUUAUUAUAAGCAGGGAAAAUAUAUAGACCAAGGAUAUACCUCCAAUAUUAAUGAUUCACAUUUCCAUGUUUAUCAUGAUCAUACUGCCGAUCAAGCUGAGGAAUAUUGGUGUCCUGGUACCAGACAACUCGCUGCUAUAUGUGUGCUGUCUGUACACGAUGAGAAUGAAGCAAUAAGAAUAUGUCUUCGAGAUCGACAGUGUGCAGCCUUUGUCUUGACUCCGGAAAGAACAUGGACAGGAAGAUACAUCGCUCGGUUCAAGAAAGCCAUUUCAAUGACGUCUAUCCAACCUAGCAAAGGAAAUACUCUAUUUGUGUUUCCAACGUAAAACCGUUGGUUCGAUCAUGUAGACCCCCAUCCUCCACGCCACUACUUGGAGGACUAUCGUUAUGGUAUAGCUUUCAUCCAGGAUAUUUCUUUUUAUUCAUAGAACACGCGGGGACAUUUAAUAAAACAAAAAGUCAGUUAUUUUCACUGACUAUUGAAAUGAGCUUUUAAAAAAUGCAUGCAUCUGAUUGGCUCAGAGCAUGCACUCUAGAAAAAAUAUUGGGUAAAAAUGAGAUCCAUGGUGGUAAUUAUGUGUCCAACCAACAUUGUGCAUUUCUUUUUGUGGCAUUUUUAUUUAUCCAAAUUGUGACGAAAAAUUUUGCCCAUUCUAAAUUAAUUGCUGCUUAUUUUCAACAUUACUGGACAAUAUGCUUCCCGCAUUGGGUAAAAUACAGCCCCAAAUUGGUUUAACACAUUAUUACCCCCGUGCUGGUUAAAGUUUCACCCAAUAGUUUUUACAGUGUGUUUUGUCAGUGAAGUCGAUGACUGCUUUUCGUGAAACACUUCCCAAGUUUUUACAAGUACCAUUUUAAACCUGACGUCAAAAUCAAUCAACAGAGGGGAAAGGGUAUUUUUUUAUGGGGUUUAAGGUAUUAUUCCUGUCGUUCGCCCCGAAUUCAGGGUCCCUUGCCAUAAUGGCAAAGUUACAACAGUUGUAACUCUUUAUGAAACGGGCCCAGAUGUGUAUUAACAUGGAUUAAGCUGUGCUGAUAACGGUAGUCAAUUAUAGCUCCAGUCCAGAAGAGGCGCAAAAUUCAUAACAUUUUGUCAAAAGAGGUCAAGAAGAAUACAUAUUGAAGAUGAGAUAAUAAUGGUGAUGACUAAGAAGAAAGGGAAGAAGGAAUGGGACUAAAUAGAUAUGGCAAUUUCUAUGAAGAUCAAUGAUUCGUAAUGACAAGAGUCUUAUCAGACUUAUAUGUAUUAUUUAUCAUAAAGCAAUAAAAAUUAACUUCCUUUAAAUUUGAUUAUGGAUAAAAAUUGAAUCAUUGUUAGGGUGAUCCUAUAAUAAUACUUCUGGUAUUGAUUGUAUUAAGAAAUGUAAUAUCUCGUUAUGGAUUCACUGUUUAUUCUAAAAAAAAUCAAUUACCAAACAAAUAUUCACCCACUAGGCCUUGUUUCUUGAGUUGUACUUUCUGCUAUAAUGGUGGUUGACGGUGGUUGAUGAUGAUGAUGAUGAUGAUGGUGAUGGUAACGAUGAUGAUGAUGAUGAAGAUGAAGAUGAUGAUGGUGAUGAUGAUAAUGACAAUGAUGACGGUGAUGACGAUGAUAAUGAUGAUGAUAAUGGCGAUGAUGACGGUGAUGAUGAUGAUGAUGAUGAUGAUGAUAAUGGCGAUGAUGACGACGAUGAUGAUGACGGUGAUGACGAUGAUGAUGAUGAUGAUGAUGAUGAUGAUAAUGGCGAUGAUGACGGUGAUGAUGAUGAUGAUGAUGGUGGUGAUGGCGAUGAUGACGGUGAUGACGAUGAUGAUGAUGAAGAUGAUGAUAAUGAUGAUAAUACUUAUGACGACGACGACGAUGAUGAUAAUAAUAGAUUGAUUAUUUUAUUUCCAUGAAAUAAUUGACCACAUACAGUAUAAAAUGAAUUAACAAUAAUGUUUCAUAGUAAAAUGAUAGCAGUCAUUGUAUGGGAGGGGCAGUCAUAGGCACAAAGGCAUGGUAAAGGACGCCUCUCAAAGAAAAAAUAUGGCCUUUAUCGUUAAAUAAAUUCAAUUCAAUUUCAAUUUCAAUUUAUUUGCUCAUAAAAAUCCAUACAAAAACAUACAUACUGUAUAUACAAAGUAUCAUAUUCACAAAAUAAUGGGUAAAAAACAUUGGCUGGAAAAGGUCUUUAAUUCAGAUUUGAAUGUCUCGAUGAGAGUGAUGGUGGGAGGGCCGUCGGUAAAGGGGGUGUGGGGAUGCGACAUCCUCUCCCCCCCCCCCCGCCUACUCUGAAUAUCAUCAGAAAAAUGAAGAAAAUGGGUAAAAACGAAAAAAAAAAGAGGGAAGAGGAAAGAAAAUGGAAAGAAGAAAAAUUGAAAAAGAAAAAAGGACGGAAGGAAGGAAGGAAAAGGCAGAGAGAAAGAAGAAAACAAAAGGAGAAAAUCAGAGAGAGAAGGUGUCAUGGUCGACGAGGUUUAAAUAGGUAAACCUGUGUGCAGGGCCGUCGCUAAAGGGGGGAGGUGGGGGUGCAACGUACCCCCCCUUCCCACUACUCUGGAUAUCGUCGGUAAAUCUGCGCUGCCGUCGGGGAAAAUGAAGAAAACGGCGGGAGGGGGAAAAGGAAGGGAGAAAGAGGAAAGGGAGAGAAGGG